Molecule: long non-coding RNA, 214 nt
Filed under: Homo sapiens (human)
Lineage: Eukaryota; Metazoa; Chordata; Mammalia; Primates; Hominidae
Description: HSALNT0081580
Source: RNAcentral
GAAAUUUCAGCUUGCUUUACUAAAGGAAUAUUUCAAACAUACAAGAAAAUACAGAUGUCCUCUAAACCAACUCAUACAGUGUACACAUAUUUAGCUUCGCCAGAAUCACUGAUUCAAUCAGUUAUCUAUUGAGUAUUUACUACGCAUUGAAUCCUGCUCUACUGAAAAAAAAGUUCCAGUCCGGUGCAGUACAUAUGCUGUUAGGAGAACACAG